GACGAACGCUGGCGGCAGGCUUAACACAUGCAAGUCGAGCGCCCCGCAAGGGGAGCGGCAGACGGGUGAGUAACGCGUGGGAAUCUACCCAUCUCUACGGAACAACUCCGGGAAACUGGAGCUAAUACCGUAUACGUCCUUCGGGAGAAAGAUUUAUCGGGGAUGGAUGAGCCCGCGUUGGAUUAGCUAGUUGGUGGGGUAAUGGCCUACCAAGGCGACGAUCCAUAGCUGGUCUGAGAGGAUGAUCAGCCACACUGGGACUGAGACACGGCCCAGACUCCUACGGGAGGCAGCAGUGGGGAAUAUUGGACAAUGGGCGCAAGCCUGAUCCAGCCAUGCCGCGUGAGUGAUGAAGGCCCUAGGGUUGUAAAGCUCUUUCAACGGUGAAGAUAAUGACGGUAACCGUAGAAGAAGCCCCGGCUAACUUCGUGCCAGCCGCCGCAGUAA
Molecule: ribosomal RNA, 447 nt
Filed under: uncultured bacterium
Lineage: Bacteria
Description: partial 16S ribosomal RNA
Rfam family: Bacterial small subunit ribosomal RNA
Source: RNAcentral